GCGGGCAUCGCGCUGAGUCCGGGGCCAUUCGUGGUCCCGGAGCCGGGGAACCAACCACAUCUGGGGUGAAUCCCGCACGAGGUGCGCGUACGACGACCCGAUCGGGUCGGCGGACACGCGAGGAGUGCGGGUAGGGCAAGUCGUGCCCGAACCCGUCAGCUCACCCGGUAGGCGUACGACACCGCAAAG
This 189-nucleotide small RNA is filed under the name Nocardioides sp. Its description in RNAcentral is "c-di-AMP sequence". It matches the Rfam family "c-di-AMP riboswitch aptamer (ydaO/yuaA leader)". From Rfam's summary of the family: This family represents a conserved RNA structure found upstream of the ydaO and yuaA genes in Bacillus subtilis and related genes in other bacteria. The ydaO/yuaA element is thought to act as a genetic "off" switch for the ydaO and yuaA genes in its native state. It is believed that the element may be triggered during osmotic shock leading to activation of ydaO, a predicted amino acid transporter gene, and members of the yuaA-yubG operon which code for KtrA and KtrB K+ transporters. RNAcentral also lists the same sequence under 1 other name. Lineage: Bacteria; Bacillati; Actinomycetota; Actinomycetes; Propionibacteriales; Nocardioidaceae. The record is from RNAcentral.